CACCACCAGGAGUGGAGCUUGCGGCUUAAUUUGACUCAACACGGGAAAUCUCACCCGGCCAGUACAUCGUAAGGAUUGACAGACUGACAGCUCUUUCAUGAUUCGGUGAAUGGUGGUGCAUGGCCGUUCUUAGUUCGUGGAUUGAUUUGUCUGGUUUAUUCCGAUAACGAACGAGACUUUAACUAUUAAAUAGUGCGCUUGUUGUUUUGCAAGCGAUCACUUCUUAAAGGAAUUUGUGGUGUUUAGCCUUAAGAAAUUGAGCAAUAACAGGUCUGUGAUGCCCUUAGAUGUUCGGGGCCGCACGCGUGCUACAAUGAUGGUAACAGCGUGAUUGUCCUUUCCCGACAGGGAUUGGCAAACAGUUGAGAUAUUAUUAUGGCUGGAAUUGAGUGUUGAAAUUUUCCCUCAUGAACGAGGAAUUCCAAGUAAAUGUGAGUCAUUAACUUGCAUUGAUUACGUCCCUGCCCUUUGUACACACCGCCCGUCGCUGCCCGGGACUGAGUUACUUCGAGAAAACUAGGGAUCGUUGGAGUUUGAUAUUUCGGUAUCAUCUUCGAUGCGAACUAGUUUAAUCGCAGUGGCUUGAACCGGGCAAAAGUCGUAACAAG
This 608-nucleotide ribosomal RNA is filed under the name Bursaphelenchus fungivorus. RNAcentral describes it as "SSU rRNA". It matches the Rfam family "Eukaryotic small subunit ribosomal RNA", at positions 1165 to 1798 of the family's 1831-position model. The record is from RNAcentral. Lineage: Eukaryota; Metazoa; Nematoda; Chromadorea; Rhabditida; Aphelenchoididae.